ACCGUCCUUAUCUUGGGGUUGCGCGGCCGCCCGAUGAACGCGUGGUGAGGGCGGCCCUGCUAACGCCGGGCAACACGCGCAGCGCCCGCCGUGCGCGGGGCGCAAUUUUUGGAACC
This is a small nuclear RNA of Cygnus atratus (black swan), 116 nucleotides long. RefSeq annotates it as U4atac minor spliceosomal RNA. The transcript has a single exon. Lineage: Eukaryota; Metazoa; Chordata; Aves; Anseriformes; Anatidae. The record is from RefSeq and is a predicted model, not a curated record.